CUCAGAUUUACAAGAGUAACACUCUUGAAGGGGGAUUUUCCUGGAGUGGUACUUGAGGAAAGUCGUUUUUUAGUUUUUCCAGGGGUUUUCAUAAUAAAUGGGAAAAAAUGUGAAUAUUUAUGAAAAAAUGCUUUUUAAUUUUAUAUUUUGUUUUGUUAUAAUUCAGUUUAAAAUUUUUGUACAGACUCAAAAUUUGGAUAGAGAAAUUAGAUUUGCUUUUUAUAUACGUGAUAAAAUUUUCAAAACAUUUGACCCAUUUAAAUUUUUAUUAUGCAAUACCUAUUUAUUUGGUAGGAUGAUACAAUUGUUAGACCAACUAGAAAUGCUUGGUAAUUUAACAGGCCGUUUAUUGAAAGUUGUACUUAGUGGUUAACAAUAAAAAGUUGAGUUUAAUGUAAUAUUUUUUUUUUUUUUUUACAAGAAUUUUAAUAUCAAAUUUCAAAGAAAAUCGUAAAUCGUACUACCAAACAUGUAUAACCUUGACCUUAUGGCCUUGGUUCUAUGUGUAUAACCGAAUUUCGCUCAGAAUCAUUUUUCG
Cinara cedri is the source of this 538-nucleotide non-coding RNA. Lineage: Eukaryota; Metazoa; Arthropoda; Insecta; Hemiptera; Aphididae. The record is from the annotation of a GenBank genome assembly.